GGAGAAAGGGUGGCCUCGUGACCCCUAUUCUACAGAGUCUCCUCCCACGGCUGCCCAGCUCCCUGGCAGACUAUCUUGCCUCUACAUCACCAGCAGUAGUGGGCGGCUACAGGGCAGAGCUGUCCCGGGACCUCCUCACUGCCUCCAGAGUCAAGGAACGCCUCCUCAGGGAAGUCCUCCACCUCAUCACUGACCUGUGAGUCACGGAGCUCCCGGGCACCAUGCUGGCCACAAAUGCCUAAGGAGCCACCCCCGGAAGCAACUGUGGGUCCCGCAGGCUAGUAGACACCUUCGGGGCCUGAGGGACUUGUACUUCAAUCCAAUGCUCUCCUCACUCUCACAAGAUUUUACAGACGUGGAAACCGAGGCCCCAAGGGGUAAUCGGCCCGCGUUCCCAUGCCAAUAACCGGCGGUGGCGGGACCCACACCUACCCUGUGACCCGCAGGCCCAGGGGUCGAGCCCCAGGUAGAACGCCUACACCGACUCCGCCCUCGGCGCAGCACGGGGAACCUUAACCCGGACACAGAGGCGUAAGCGGAAGUGCUGCCGAGCCGUAGCUAUGGAGACACGGGGGGCGGGCCGCCCGGAGAGCGCGACCUUUGACCUGCAGUCGAGCCUACGUCAGAGGCUGGCGCAAACAGAAGUGCAGCGGUGGCGGCGGCUGGUUGCGGGCCAGCGGCAGGCAGGCGGCGAUGGAGGAUCCUGUUCAAGAUGGGGUGGCUUCACCAGCUACCCCUGGGACCGGGAAAUCUAAGCUGGAAACAUUGCCCAAAGAAGACCUCAUCAAGUUUGCCAAGAAACAGAUGAUGCUAAUACAGAAAGCUAAGUCAAGGUGUACAGAAUUGGAGAAAGAAAUUGAAGAACUCAAAUCAAAACCUGUUACUGAAGGAACUGAUGAUAUUAUUAAGGCAUUAACUGAACGUCUGGAUGCUAUUCUUCUGGAAAAAGCAGAGACUGAGCAACAGUGUCUUUCUCUGAGAAAGGAAAAUAAAAAAAUGAAGCAAGAGGUUGAGGAUUCUGUAACUAAGAUGGAAGAUGCACAUAAGGAGUUGGAACAAUCACAUAUAAACUAUGUGAAAGAAAUUGAAAAUUUGAAAAAUGAAUUGAUGGCAGUACGUGCCAAAUACAGUGAAGACAAAGCUAACUUACAAAAGGAACUGGAAGAAGCAGUGAAUAAGCAAUUAGAGCUCUCAGAACAACUUAAGUUUCAGAACAACUCUGAAGAUAAUGUUAAAAAACUACAAGAAGAGAUUGAGAAAAUUAGGCCAGCCUUUGAGGAGCAAAUUUUAUAUCUGCAAAAGCAAUUAGACGCUACCACUGAUGAAAAGAAGGAAACAGUUACUCAACUCCAAAAUAUCAUUGAGGCUAAUUCUCAGCAUUACCAAAAAAAUAUUAAUAGUUUGCAGGAGGAACUUUUACAGUUGAAAGCUAUACACCAAGAAGAGGUGAAAGAAUUAAUGUGCCAGAUUGAAGCAUCAGCUAAGGAACAUGAAACAGAGAUAAAUAAGUUGAAUGAGCUGAAAGAGAACUUAGUAAAACAAUGUGAGGCAAGUGAAAAGAACAUCCAGGAGAAAUAUGAAUGUGAGUUAGAAAAUUUAAGGAAAGCCACCUCAAAUGCAAACCAAGACAAUCAGAUGUGUUCUCUUCUCUUCCAAGAAAAUACAUUUGUAGAACAAGUAGUAAAUGAAAAAGUCAAACACUUAGAAGAUACCUUAAAAGAACUUGAAUCUCAACAUAGUAUCUUAAAAGAUGAGGUAACUUAUAUGAAUAAUCUUAAGUUAAAACUUGAAAUGGAUGCUCAACAUAUAAAGGAUGAGUUUUUUCAUGAACGGGAAGACUUAGAGUUUAAAAUUAAUGAAUUAUUACUAGCUAAAGAAGAACAGGGCUGUGUAAUUGAAAAAUUAAAAUCUGAGCUAGCAGGUUUAAAUAAACAGUUUUGCUGUACUGUAGAACAGCAUAACAAAGAAGUACAGAGCCUUAAGGAACAACAUCAAAAAGAAAUAUCAGAGCUAAAUGAGACAUUUUUGUCAGAUUCAGAAAAAGAAAAAUUAACAUUAAUGUUUGAAAUACAGGGUCUUAAGGAACAGUGUGACAACCUACAGCAAGAAAAGCAAGAAGCAAUUUUAAAUUAUGAGAGUUUACGAGAGAUUAUGGAAAUUUUACAAACAGAACUGGGGGAAUCUGCUGGAAAAAUAAGUCAAGAAUUUGAAUCAAUGAAGCAACAGCAAGCAUCUGAUGUUCAUGAACUGCAGCAGAAGCUCAGAACUGCCUUUACUGAGAAAGAUGCUCUUCUCGAAACUGUGAAUCACCUCCAGGGAGAAAAUGAAAAGUUACUAUCUCAACAAGAAUUGGUACCAGAACUUGAAAAUACCAUAAAGAACCUUGAAGAAAAGAAUGGAGUAUACUUACUUAGUCUCAGUCAAAGAGAUACCAUGUUAAAAGAAUUAGAAGCAAAGAUAAAUUCUCUUACUGAGGAAAAAGAUGAUUUUAUAAAUAAACUGAAAAAUUCCUAUGAAGAAAUGGAUAAUUUCCAUAAGAAAUGUGAGAGGGAAGAAAGAUUGAUUCUUGAACUUGGGAAGAAAGUAGAGCAGACAACCCAGUACAACAGUGAACUAGAACAAAAGGUAAAUGAAUUAACAGGAGGAUUAGAGGAGACUUUAAAAGAAAAGGAUCAAAAUGACCAAAAACUAGAAAAACUUAUGGUUCAAAUGAAAGUUCUCUCUGAAGACAAAGAAGUAUUGUCAGCUGAAGUGAAGUCUCUCUAUGAGGAAAACAAUAAACUCAGUUCAGAAAAAAAACAGUUGAGUAGGGAUUUGGAAGUUUUUUUGUCUCAAAAAGAUGAUGUUAUCCUUAAAGAACAUAUUACUGAAUUAGAAAAGAAACUUCAGUUAAUGGUUGAAGAGCGAGAUAAUUUAAAUAAACUGCUUGAAAAUGAGCAAGUUCAGAAGUUAUUUGUCAAAACUCAGUUGUGUGGUUUUCUUAAAGAUAUAGGGUCUGAAGUUUCAGAAGACGGUGAAGAGAAAGAUGUUGUUAAUAUCCUACAGGCAGUCGGUGAAUCCUUGGCAAAAAUAAAUGAGGAAAAAUGCAACCUGGUUUUUCAGUGUGAUAAAAAGGUAUUCGAGUUAGAAAAAGAGAUUAAGUGCCUUCAAGAAGAGAGUGUAGUUCAGUGUGAAGAACUUAAGUCUUUAUUGAGAGACUAUGAGCAAGAGAAAGUUCUCUUAAGGAAAGAGUUAGAAGAAAUCCAGUCAGAAAAAGAGGCCCUGCAAUCUGAUCUUCUAGAAAUGAAGAAUGCUAAUGAAAAAACAAGGCUUGAAAAUCAGAAUCUUCUAAUUCAAGUUGAAGAAGUAUCUCAAACAUGUAACAAAAAUGAAGUCCGUAAUGAAAAAGAAAAAUGUUCUAUAAAGGAACAUGAAAACCUAAAGCCGUUACUAGAACAAAAAGAAUCAGAAUUACGAGAUACGAGAGCAGAGUUGAUACUAUUAAAGGAUUCCUUAGCGAAAUCACCUUCUGUACAAAAUGAUCCUCUGUCUUCAGUAAAAGAGUUGGAAGAAAAAUUAGAAAAUCUGGAAAAAGAAAGCAAAGAAAAGGAGGAGAAAAUAAAUAAGAUAAAAUUAGUUGCCGUGAAGGCAAAGAAAGAACUAGAUUCCAGCAGAAAAGAGACCCAGACUGUAAGGGAAGAACUUGAAUCUCUUCGGUCAGAAAAGGACCAGUUAUCUGCUUCCAUGAGAGAUCUCAUUCAAGCAGCAGAAAGCUAUAAGAAUCUUUUAUUAGAAUAUGAAAAGCAGUCAGAGCAACUGGAUGUGGAAAAAGAACGUGCUAACAAUUUUGAGCAUCAUGUUGAAGACCUUACAAGACAACUAAGAAAUUCGACUUUACAGUGUGAAAAAAUAAAUUCUGAUAAUGAAGAUCUGCUGGCUCGUAUUGAGACACUACAGUCUAAUGCCAAAUUAUUAGAAGUACAGAUUUUAGAAGUCCAGAGAGCCAAAGCAAUGGUAGACAAAGAAUUAGAAGCUGAAAAACUUCAGAAAGAACAGAAGAUAAAGGAACAUGCCACUACUGUAAAUGAACUUGAAGAACUUCAGGUACAACUUCAAAAGGAAAAGAAACAGCUUCAGAAAACCAUGCAAGAAUUAGAGCUGGUUAAAAAGGAUGCCCAACAAACCACAUUGAUGAAUAUGGAAAUAGCUGAUUAUGAACGUUUGAUGAAAGAACUAAAUCAAAAGUUAAGUAAUAAAAACAACAAGAUAGAAGAUUUGGAGCAAGAAAUAAAAAUUCAAAAACAGAAACAAGAAACCCUACAAGAAGAAAUAACUUCAUUACAGUCUUCAGUACAACAAUAUGAAGAAAAAAACACCAAAAUCAAGCAAUUGCUUGUGAAAACCAAAAAGGAACUGGCAGAUUCAAAGCAAGCAGAAACUGAUCACUUAAUACUUCAAGCAUCUUUAAAAGGUGAGCUGGAGGCAAGCCAGCAGCAAGUAGAAGUCUAUAAAAUACAGCUGGCUGAAAUAACAUCAGAGAAACACAAAAUCCACGAGCACCUGAAAACCUCUGCAGAACAGCACCAGCGUACGCUAAGUGCGUACCAGCAGAGAGUGACAGCGCUACAGGAAGAGAGUCGUGCCGCCAAGGCAGAACAAGCUACUGUAACCUCUGAAUUCGAGAGCUACAAAGUCCGAGUUCAUAACGUUCUAAAACAACAGAAAAAUAAAUCUAUGUCUCAGGCUGAAACUGAGGGCGCUAAACAAGAAAGGGAACAUCUGGAAAUGCUGAUUGACCAACUAAAAAUCAAAUUACAAGAUAGCCAAAAUAACUUACAGAUGAAUGUAUCUGAACUUCAAACAUUGCAGUCUGAACAUGAUACACUGCUAGAAAGGCACAACAAGAUGCUUCAGGAAACUGUGUCCAAAGAGGCGGAACUCCGGGAAAAAUUGUGUUCCAUACAAUCAGAGAACAUGAUGAUGAAGUCUGAGCAUACACAGACUGUGAGUCAGCUAACAUCCCAGAAUGAGGUCCUUCGAAAUAGCUUCCGAGAUCAAGUGCGACAUUUGCAGGAAGAGCACAGAAAGACAGUGGAGACAUUACAGCAGCAGCUCUCCAGGGUGGAAGCACAGCUCUUCCAGCUUAAGAAUGAACCGACCACAAGAAGUAUGCCCAGUUUCCUCUCAACAAUCUUCGAAGAACCUUCGAGAAAGGAGAAACACAGACCUCCCACUUCUAGACAUGCACACUGUAACCCGGGAAGAGGGAGAAGGCAUGGAGACAACUGAUACUGAGUCCGUGUCUUCCGCCAGCACAUAUACACAGUCUUUAGAGCAGCUGCUUAAUUCUCCCGAAACUAAACUUGAGCCUCCAUUAUGGCAUGCCGAAUUUACCAAAGAAGAAUUGGUUCAGAAACUCAGUUCCACCACAAAAAGUGCAGAUCACUUAAACGGCCUGCUUCGGGAAACAGAAGCAACCAAUGCAAUCCUCAUGGAGCAAAUUAAGCUUCUCAAAAGUGAAAUAAGAAGAUUAGAAAGGAAUCAAGAGCGAGAGAAGUCUGCAGCUAACCUGGAAUACUUGAAGAAUGUCUUGCUACAGUUCAUUUUCCUGAAACCAGGUAGUGAAAGAGAAAGACUUCUUCCUGUUAUAAAUACAAUGUUGCAGCUCAGCCCUGAAGAAAAGGGAAAACUUGCUGCGAUUGCUCAAGGUGAGGAAGAAAAUGCUUCCCGUUCUUCUGGAUGGGCAUCCUAUCUUCAUAGUUGGUCUGGACUUCGAUAGAUUGAUGGAAGGAGUAUUUUUAUUAACCAAAUAGAAUCUAUUUACAAAAAUGGUUCAUGUAUAUUACCAUUAUCCUUUUGUCCAAAAGUGUGUAUAUAUGUUUGCAUCUACAUAUAUUUGUACAUCUAUAUGACAGAUGUAUUUUAAAAGUUUCAACUUGAAGUAAAAGUACAACAGCUUGAAGUGUUGAUACCAGGCGACAGCCCCUAACUCAUGUGAUCUCCCGUGCAUGCUGCCAGAAUCAAACCACCAGGAAUGAAUUCACUCCCCACUUCUCUGGAACCUCAGGACCCAUUGCUCGGCAGUACUGUGAAUUUUGAAGUUAAACUAAAUUUUGGUACCAUACCAACUGAAAUUUAGGCUUUAAAAAUAAUGUUUCAAGGCCAUGUGUGGUGAUUCAGGCCUGUAAUCCCAGCACUUUGGGAGGCUGAGGCUGGAGAAUCACUUGAGGCUAGUGAGCUGUGAUCGUACCACUGCACUCCAGCUCGGGGAACAGAGCGAGCGAGACCUUGUCUCUAAAAAUAAUAAUAGUAAUAAAAUAAAAAUAAUGUUUUAUGACUAUUUAUUGCAAGGUCAGAUUUGUAGAUUGUUACUAGUUAUAAAUUGUUGAGAAAUUUUUGUGAUUAGAAUAUGAAGGAAAAAGCUUUAUUGGUAAAAGUGACAUGUUUAUUAAGGGGCUAUGAAGUAAAUAUGCUGCAGUUAAUUAUGCGAAGUUGAAAUAUAAUUUAGUUACUUUAAAAUAAACUGUUCUUUUUUUCUUUAAAGUAUAUUCUCUCAAAACUCACGAUGUUGUCAGAGCCCUAGAGCUGGCUAGUGUAACACUGACUCUGAAUAGGCGGGCCCACCCCCGAGUUGAGGUGGUUUCAUGCUGUCUCUCCAGGCUCUUGGUAUGGUGUCGCUACAUGCAAGCCAUGAAUCCGUUUUGAGAAUCCUCUCCAUUUUCCCAAAUAAAAACCUAUCACAACAGUGACUAUAUCACUCAGCGUUGUAUCUAAGUAUAAAACUGGUGCUUUCAGUGUUGUGGCAGAUAGUGUUCCGUAAGCUUUCCAUCAGCUUUCCAUCAGAAGGGAUUUUAGAAAGACACCUUGGAGGUCCGUGCUACAUCUUCACAGUUCCUCUGAAUAAACUUAGGUGGUAGCAUUACUUGCCUUUGACGCCUCUGCAUAUGUUUUAAUGACUAGAUCAAAAUUGUGGUGUUCUUCAAUCAAAAAUUUGAUAAUUCUAUUUUUAAUAUUUAUGUGUUAAUCACCACACAGUAUGCUCUCUGAAGUUCUCUUAAGCCUUCAGUUUAUACUCUUAAUUCUCAUUCUGAGCUGGAGAACUGACUUUGCACUUUGGUUAUGCAGAACAUUGGUUUCCAAUUUAGUUUAACUGAAAUUUGCUGCUGAUAUGUUGAGUUUGUUCUCUAAAUAAUAUCUCAUAUAUCUGUCUUUCCUCCUGUCUUAGAAGAACAGACCUAACUAGUGAAUGUAUUAAUGAAAAUGCAUCUAUUUCAGAGCUGACAUGAAGAGUUUAGUUUUUUUACUUUAUAAACUGUGAAUUUGAGUAUGCCACCUGCCUACAAUGUAACUAAUCAUAUUUAAAUAUAUUUUACUUUCUCUUUGACUUUAGACCUUUUGAAGUCUGUAUAAACUUGUUUUAAAAUAUAGUCUCUACUUAUGAAUGUCAUAACAAAAAUACCUUUUUGCAUGAUAAAAAAUUAUUACUUUGAUUACAAAAGGCCUAUUCUUUCAUGGUUUCCGCAAUGAGAGGAAGUGUAAUGAUUAUUUUAAUAUUUCUAUUAAAUAUGUUUAACU
Cercocebus atys (sooty mangabey) is the source of this 7554-nucleotide RNA transcript. It is a transcript of the gene named GRIP and coiled-coil domain containing 2, with no coding region annotated. NCBI's taxonomy places the organism in Eukaryota, Metazoa, Chordata, Mammalia, Primates, Cercopithecidae. The transcript is spliced from 23 exons. The record is from RefSeq and is a predicted model, not a curated record.